RNAcentral lists this ribosomal RNA (339 nucleotides) under Mauremys rivulata. RNAcentral describes it as "partial 12S ribosomal RNA". It matches the Rfam family "Bacterial small subunit ribosomal RNA", at positions 860 to 1355 of the family's 1533-position model. Lineage: Eukaryota; Metazoa; Chordata; Testudines; Geoemydidae. The record is from RNAcentral.
CAAAAAUAUCCGCCAGAGAACUACGAGCAAAACGCUUAAAACUCUAAGGACUUGGCGGUACCUCAAACCCCCCUAGAGGAGCCUGUUCUAUAAUCGAUAAUCCACGAUCCACCUCACCAUCUCUUGCUAAUCCCGCCUAUAUACCACCGUCACCAGCUUACCCCAUGAGGGCAUAAAAGUAAGCAAAAUAACUAAAAACAGUUAACAAGUCAGGUCAAGGUGUAGCUUAUUGAGAUGGGAAGAAAUGGGCUACAUUUUCUAUACUAGAAAUAAAUUUACGGAAGGAAACUAUGAAAUAAGUCCCACAAGUAGGAUUUAGCAGUAAACCGGGAUCAUGAA